GCAAGGCUAAAACUCAAAGGAAUUGACGGGGCCCCGCACAAGCGGCGGAGCAUGCGGCUUAAUUCGAUGCAACCCGAAGAACCUUACCUGGAUUUGACAUGAUGGGUCUAGCUGUGGAAACACAGUGUGCUUAGGCGCUCAUCACAGGUGGUGCAUGGCUGUCGUCAGCUCGUGUCGUGAGAUGUUGGGUUAAGUCCCGCAACGAGCGCAACCCUUGUCCUAUGUUGCCAGCACGUAAUGGUGGGGACUCAUGGGAGACUGCCGGAGACAACUCGGAGGAAGGCGAGGACGAUGUCAAGUCAUCAUGCCCCUUAUAUCCAGGGCUGCACGCAUGCUACAAUGGGCGGUACAGUGGGCCGCGAUCUCGCAAGAGUGAGCCAAUCCCUCAAAGCCGUCCCCAGUUCGGAUUGAAGUCUGCAACUCGACUUCAUGAAGCCGGAGUCGCUAGUAAUCGUGGAUCAGCUAUGCCACGGUGAAUACGUUCUCGGGGCUUGUACACACCGCCCGUCACAUCACGGAAGUCGGUAACACCCGAAGUCAGUGGCCUAACCCUUUAUUGGGAGGGAACUGCCUAAGGUGGGAUUGGUAACUGGGAUGAAGUCGUAACAAGGUA
Molecule: ribosomal RNA, 613 nt
Filed under: uncultured bacterium
Lineage: Bacteria
Description: bacterial SSU rRNA
Rfam family: Bacterial small subunit ribosomal RNA
Source: RNAcentral